AUAUGUAUACUCGCGUUAACCAGUCGUGGAUGGUUCGGAAUCAGGAACUGUUCCAUCGCGUGGGUGCUUUACUGUUGGCCAGGAUUCCGAGGGAACUUUCAUAGAGAUUAAUACCGAAGGAAUCGAAUAACGGUGAAUAUUUGAUGUUUUUUAAGCCAAUUGGACUCUCCCGACAACACACAUGGAAGUUGGACUUUCUGAAAAUGAUUACGGAGUUCAAUCGUGAUUACGAUGACAUUACCAGCAAGAAUAGCGUAUUGGCGAAGGACGUACUGGAUUGAUCUUCCUAUGUCAGUAAGGAUCGAAUCGUGCUCGGGUGGAAUUGUUAUUUCCGGUGCACAGUCUACGUCUGCAGGAUUUCAGCUACUUAUCCAAAUUCCUCACGGCAAAUAGAACCGUUGUUCCGGCGAGUGGGAAAACAUACAGUCAGAUACGGAUAGCACAUAUUCGGAAAUCCGUCAAUACGCAGACUCGUUCCAAAGGCAGCCACCGUAGACUUUUUAUUUUGCCCCGGCGAACAAAAAACAUUUUUGAAUUUCUCUUUUUAAAUCGCUUGUAUUGCAAUCAUGAUAUUUGGAUGUUUAAAUAAAGAUUUAUUUCAAGA
Long non-coding RNA from Armigeres subalbatus, 604 nucleotides. RefSeq lists it as uncharacterized. NCBI's taxonomy places the organism in Eukaryota, Metazoa, Arthropoda, Insecta, Diptera, Culicidae. The transcript is spliced from 3 exons. The record is from RefSeq and is a predicted model, not a curated record.